GUGCAGCAGUCGCGAAACCUCCGCAAUGCGGGAAACCGUGACGGGGUCACCCCGAGUGCCACCCGAUGAGGGUGGCUUUUCCCCGGUCUAAAAAGCCGGGGGCAAUAAGCGGGGGGCAAGUCUGGUGUCAGCCGCCGCGGUAAUACCAGCCCCGCGAGUGGUCGGGACGUUUAUUGGGCCUAAAGCGUCCGUAGCCGGCUCGGUAAGUCCCUCCUUAAAUCCACGGGCUCAACCCGUGGGCUGGGAGGGAUACUGCCGGGCUAGGGGGCGGGAGAGGCCGAGGGUACUCCCGGGGUAGGGGCGAAAUCCGUUAAUCCCGGGAGGACCACCAGUGGCGAAGGCGCUCGGCUGGAACGCGCCCGACGGUGAGGGACGAAAGC
RNAcentral lists this ribosomal RNA (380 nucleotides) under uncultured microorganism. RNAcentral describes it as "bacterial SSU rRNA". It matches the Rfam family "Archaeal small subunit ribosomal RNA", at positions 330 to 711 of the family's 1478-position model. The record is from RNAcentral.